This 7060-nucleotide long non-coding RNA is filed under the name Sus scrofa (pig). RNAcentral's name for it is "lncRNA (ENSSSCG00050063857.1)". Lineage: Eukaryota; Metazoa; Chordata; Mammalia; Artiodactyla; Suidae. The record is from RNAcentral.
CAGACUGAUGAUAUUACUUUGCAUGUUUGGAGAUAGCCAAUAAAUUGUCAGGCCAAUUUUACAUGAGAUUUUUUUAAUCAAAGUAUAAUUGAUUUACAGUGUUCCUUCAAUUUCUGCUGUACAGCAAAGUGACCCAGCCACCCAUAUACACACAGUUCCCUAUGCUGUACCGUAGGACCCCAUCACCCAUCCACUCUAAAUGGAGCUUUGAACGAUGCUCUCCUGUUCUGCAGAUGUGUGUCGUGAGAAGUAGUCAGGUGACUAAGGUUUGUCUCUCUUCUAUCAAGCGGUGCUUGGUGAAAUUGCAGACUAGUGACAGGUGUUUGCUUUAUCAGUGUGUUUCUGAGUAGCUUGGACAAAUAGUAUCAAUAUAUACUGAAUAAAACAAUAUUCCGAGACUAUAUGCAAAUGGGAAGUAGUUGAAACUUUUGAGAACCUUUUAAAAAAUGGCUUUGAAGUUUUAGGUAGAGUAAGGAUCAGGACUGAAUCAAUGAAAAGGGGUGUUAUCUAAACACAUCUCUUGAUUUCUUUACUCUCAUUAAAUAUAGACUUUGAGGUAACAGAAAUUUUCCCAGAAGAGGGUAUUUUUUCUGUGCUCUCAGUUCUUACAUCACCCGUAUAUCUUUAUUGGGCUUCCUGGAGUUUCUGCUGAUGACAUAGUUAUAAUAAUUUCCAGCGUUUCUUGAAAUUGUGUGUGCUAUAAGAAGGCAACAACAAAAAAACCUCCAAAUAAUUUUUGCUUAUUUACCUUUAAUCGGUAAUUGUAGUCAGGUUUAAUAAGGCUUGUUGAUUUAAAUAUUGAGUAUAAAUACAGAAGUAUAUAAUAGUUGGGCUUCUGGAGUACUCAGAGCUCAAGAGAUACAUGUGUAAGAAAUACACAUAAUUAAGUUAUAUUAUUUUCCUGUUGCCGGAAUAUUUGUUUUAAAAGUGCUAAGAGAAAAUUUUCAGAAUUUUCUUAGAUUCUUGAAGUAUCUGUUCUGUAAGCUGAAGUGUUGCGAUUGCACAUGUUGUACAGAAGAUGAUGUAACCGAACAUUAAACAUGAACUCUAAAGGUGCAGGGGGUCAUUGAGACCAAAACUGUGACCAACUUUGGGUGUGGUAAUGAACCAUAAACUGCCAAACAAGAGUGUUUAAGCAGUGAGGGGACCCUGCCAUGCUAGUGGAUGAAUUUAUAAUAGCGAUGAUGGAAGGUAGCUCUAGUCAUAUAAUUGCAUUGUUUCUUCAGCAUAAUAGCUAGUAUUCAUUUAGUGCUGAGGAUGUGCCAGACAUUGUGUUGAUGUAUUACACAAGAUUUGCGGUUAUUAUUUUAUACGUCUCAUCUAAUUUUAAUCUCAUUUCAGAGUUGAGGAAACCAAGAUUGAGAGUUAUGAUUUAAUUAGGGUCAAAUUUAAUGAAUGGGGAAAGUAAGAUUUAACCCUAGGCAGCCUGUCGCCAGAGUUCGCGUCUUAUUAAUCCAACUAUAGGUAAAUCAUACGCUUUGAUGUCUUCUUCCUUGGGUAGGAGUUUUCAAUACCAAGGGCCUCAACCCUAGUGUCCUUAUAAGAAGAAAGCAAUUCAGGCAAGACUCAGUGUGUUGGCUGUCCUGAAAGACUGUUUCCAUUCGCAAUGAAGAAGUGUGUCCCACAGCUCUCAAGGAAUGCCCUAGUGUCAGGACAGACCAAGUAGCCUGACCUGGUCCUAGAGUGUCCCUCACUCUUCGUUGUACGUCAGCAGGUAGCCACUGAGAGGUGCACAGAGAACCACCCCAUUGCUACCAUCCCUUCACCCCCAUCAUACCAACCCGCCCCCGCACGAGUGUUCUCGAAGCCAGGCAGCAGCUUCCACCCCUCACAGACCUUUGGCAAGUGAGCUGCCUCAGUCCUAAGUGAUAACUUGAUGUUGACACCUGCCUGUCAGAGCUGCAUCCGGGAACUGAUAAUCUAAGGUGCUGACUGUGGGGGAGGGUCAAGAGCAUCCGAGUGUGACUGAUUCACUGGGAGUCCUCGGGAUUAUAAACCCGAGGGUUUCUCUUGUCCUCCGCCCACCCUCCUUGUUUUCAAGCACGGAUGAACCUUGGUGUUGAGAUUCUGUUCCCUUGUGUUGCUGUUCCAAAAAGCAGUAUCUGGAGAGGUGGAUGGAGGACAGGGAGUAUCCUCAGCAAGAUAUUUGGCUUAUGUGCGUCCCUGUGGUUCUCUCAUAAACCUUCCCAUGGAGCAUCCCAGUGCGUUUUUCAAAUUACUUUUUUGUAAGUUAAAGUAUGGUUGAUGGACAGUGUUGUGUCCGUCUCUGCUGCACAGCAGAGUUGCCCCAGUCACACACAUGUAUUCGUCCUUUGUCUAGUUUUAUCUUCCAUCAUGUUCUAUCCUGAGAGACUGGAUAUUGUUCCCUGUGCCAUGCGGCAGGACCUCAUUGCUUAUCUAUUUUGGAUGUAAUAGUUUGCAUCUACCGACCCCAAACUCCCCGUCCAUCCCACUCCCUCCUCCUCCCUUGUGGCAACCACAAGUCUGUUCUUUAUGUCUGUGAGUCUGUUUCUGCUUUGCAGGCUCAUUUUCGUAGCCAUUUCUCAGACUACCCCAUAAAGCUCUUCUCUCUGAUCCAGUGUGAGUCAAGCAAACAAAAGCAAACCCAGCAGUGCUUAGCACUCAUACUGUGCUUCUACAACAUGGUUUUUCAGUCCCACCUCCCCUCAUUCAUACAGGGCAGGAACUUGUUCUUUCUGUUGUCCCUCUGAUGACAGAAAAGAUCCUAUCUCUGUGACUCUGUGAUGGCUAGAAUGGAGAGUGAUUGCGUCACAGAGUGACACGGACCCAACCUUCCGUCUCCAGGGAGGGAAGACAUUAGGAAAUCACUUCAGCCUUUUAGACAAAGGAGAAAUGAAAGCCACAUUUUAAGGAAAUUUUUGGUUUAAUGUGAUUUAAAAUCUCUUCUUUAAUUCAUGAUUUUUUUUUUUCCCCUCUGGUUCUGAAUGCACUUGGUUCAAUGGCUGUCACUUUUUCGGGGUGGAAUUCAGUCGGAACAGUGUGGUAUGUGUGAUGGGAGUAAAUGUUCUCUUUCUAGAUGGAACUAGGAGGUGAUCCCAAUUUCUCUUGUCAUUUACCCCCAUACCCUCUUUAGCAAGAGCUGUUCUUUCAUUGCUCUGUCUACAGAAAGAAAUUCCAGACUGUUUGCACUGCCUCCUUGGCUCUGUGAAGUUAGGAAUGUUUGAGCAAGGUUUAUGCAUUUCGAGUCAGAGAUAGAUAGCAUUUGUGUAGGAAUGAGAUGGAAGAUGUUAUUUUAGUUGAGAGUUUAUAUUUGAAGAUGGUAUGGGAGAUGAUUUAGGUCAUUUCAGGGAUUAGGAAAUCCCUGAGAAUGCAAGAUUACCGUAAGAAUUAUUUGGACAUUUCCCUGCGGUGGGAAGCAAAACUAUUUGAGGGUCUUUUGGUGGUUUUCUAUGUUCUCUGGUCAGCAAAUGGCCUCUUAGUGUAAAAGACAAGCAGGCCUCCAGCAUUCUGCUAGGGUGUCGUGGGCAACUGCAAAGGGAGUGAGGUCAGCUCGUUGCUCCGUAUCUCUGUGACCUCAGCUUUGGACUUUGGCGUCUUCCCCUGUAGAGUGGGAAUUGUCACAUCAUGGGCACUAUUUGUCUUCCAGCCGGGUUGUUUUGAGGGUCAGAAGAAGCUAUGUCUUUUUUAUUUUUUAUUUUUUUUUUUGUCUUUUUGCCAUUUCUUGGGCCGCUCCUGCGGCAUAUGGAGGUUCCCAGGCUAGGGGUCUAAUCGGAGCUGUAGCCACCAGCCUACACCAUAGCCACAGCAACUCGGGAUCCGAGCCGCGUCUGCGACCUACACCACAGCUCACGGCAACGCCGGAUCUUUAACCCACUGAGCAAGGGCAGGGAUCGAACCCGCAACCUCAUGGUUCCUAGUCGGAUUCGUUAACCACUGCGCCACCACGGGAACUCCAAGCUAUGUCUUUUUUAAACGAUAAUACAAUUACCUAAAAAUUGGUGGUAUUUUUACUCUUGUUUUUGUUGGUACGGUCACUGUCCUUCAGGAAUUCAUAAUUUGAACAAGGGUUGUAUAAAAGAAAUACUUAGCAUCAUAAAAGAGGCUAUAUAACUAAAUGCAGUUCAUCUUUCAGCAGUUUCUGUGUUUGACGGGACAUCGGGAAAAGGAGAGGUGACUGUAGGUAGUUGAGUCCGAGGAGGCAUUCUGGAGAAGGUGGAUUUUGAGCGUGGUGUUUCAGUGUGGACAGGGCAGCGAGUGAGCGGAGACCCUGACCUAGAGAAGAAAGGUGAACGUGGUAGGGAGGAAGGUAGGUAAGUGGAUGAGCCUGAUUUCACCCAUGCGCCAUGGAAUGGAAAGUUGUUUGCCUUCAUGUGCCAUCCAGAGCCCUUCAGAACCAGUUCUCGUAGUGCUUGGAACUCAGCCUAUUCCUUUGCACAUCCCCGUUCUUCUUCAUGGGAUUAUUUUCCUCCUUUCCUUCCUCUCCCAGUCCAGGGUCACGUAUCUUAAAGAUCAGGUAUCCUCUCUCUGGUGCCUUUGCUGCUCAGUGAAGCCUGCCUUCCUCUGCUUUCCUACUGGACCUUCUAGAGGGCUUCAUUACUCAUGACUUAGCUAAAUUAGCUAUGUGGUUUAAAUACCAUUUCAUUUUGCCAUUAUAAUAGCUUCCCGUGUUAGGUAUUGCUGUAUCAUCCUUAUUUUAUAAAUAAUACUGAAAACCCUCGAGGCUCUGAAAGUUGAUUUCACCCAAGGUCCUUGAGCGAAUAAUAGGUACUGCAACUUGAGCUAAGUGUAUAUCUGUUCUCAAUGAUGGAAAAUUGAAAGAUGAUUUUUAACUACCUGAUUUUAAGUUUUUGCAUGUAAAUAAAUGAGAGAAGAAAAAUAAGACAAAAAUAGAUUUUGGGAACGGUCCCAUAUUUUUUUCCUCCUGGAUUUUGCAGGGCAAUAGAAAAAAAUGAACCUGGCGAUAAAAUAAAGGAUUAAUAACAUGUUGAGAUAAGUAGGAGUUAAUUACAACUGACUCAGGUUUUUCAAGAAUGUAUUUUUUUUUCCCACUGUGAAGCACUAAGUCCAAAAAAUUCUUUAUUCUGGUUAUAGGAUUCUAUUAUUUCAAAUUUUACAAAUGAAUAUUUACCAAGGCAAAAUGAUUAAACAUUUAAAAGUGGUUUUGUUUGUUAGCUGGGAGGAAUACUUUGCCUGGUGGCAAGGAAUGUUUUGUAUUAGGUUAUAGAUGUCAUGGUUGCCUACCGUAAUUGUGGGGAGAGACAGGUGCUAUAGACAUCGUGUUUAUUGGAUGUUUGACUCACUGCCUUUUCCAGGUCAUUGGUUCUGGCUGAGUCCCAAGCUUUUGUGUCGAAAUUGGUCUAGCCUAGGAUUAUGACAGAACUGUUCCUCUUGGCAGCAGGGCUGGUCAGGGCCCUGGGAGGCUCAGGAGCUAAGGAAACUGUGCUAUGUGGGGAAACUCCUCCAGGUUUUUUGUGUUUUAAAGGGAUCUUUGUCAUCUCAGCAGUUCAGUCAUCUUGGUUAAAACUAGGUUAAAACUAUCUUUGUCCAAGGAGGACCAUGAGAAGGAAGAUGAGCGGGUUUAAAGUAGAAGGCUUUGGGAUAAAUUUGGACUUUGAGCUGAACUUUGAUGGCUGGUUGGAUUUACUUCGGUGUGUUACACAGAGGACAAUACCUUAGACCUAAAACUGAUGCCGUAUUUAGGAAGCUCUGAUGGGAUUAGAGGAAGAGGGGUAAAAAAAUCCACCUGUUGUAACUCGAAUGUCCAGAGAAAUGUGUACUUUGUUUUGUUGGGAAUCUGGUUUUUCUAGUAAGGCUCAUUUACGCAUUGCUUCAAAAAUAAAACAUAACUACUGAAGCCAGUCUCGAAGAAAAGGAGUUUGAGUUUAUAAUUUAAACAGUCUCCUGGGGUAAUGAUGCUUCUGUCUGGGAAACAUCACUCAUCUCUCUCUCCCUUCUUCCUAUGCUUCUCCAAGAUGACGAGGUGUACGGGACAGUGGGAGGGAAAGAGUUACUUCCCUUGUGCCCACUGUCCAUUGCCCUCAUCUGUGGGGCAGUGUCUCCUGAUCUCCUGCUUGCUGAAUGCCUCGUUGACCUACAGUGCUCAUGCUUGUGACUAAUGAACUCGAAUGGUCCAUUUAAAAAAUCUUCUCUCACUGGGUACACACUGGCUGACUCCAGACUUAUCCUUGGCUUUCGCUGGACCUUGGAAUCCUUGGAGGUCUGGCUGUGCUACCCACUUGAUCGUGCCAUGAGCAGUCCACUCUGCAGAUCUUGUUCCAGAGUUAGCUCUGUUUAUGGCAGUGAUCUCUCUCUGAGACUCUUCUUUGUCAGAUCCUUAGCUACAUCUGCAUCUUGUCUAUCCUGCACAGUAAUCCAGCAUGGUUCAGAAAAGCUAAACUUCAGGGAUUCCCCUGCCUGCCUGUAAACGGUGGUUUAUUUUGAUAUGGCUCCACCCCAGGACCUUAAGGGGUGUCUUAAAGCAUGCAAACGGAGAAAGGCAUGUAUAAACAGAGAGGGGCUAGGAGAAGUAAAAAAAGAAUUGACGUGUCUAUUCAUCUCAGUGCCCUUCUCUCCUUUUCUCACAAUGCUUCCAGUGUCAAAAACAGGCAGGAUUCUUCCUUCCUCUUCCUCUCAGGUCCUGACUAUGUAGGAUUCUAUAGUUUAGCUCAGUAAAGAUAUCAAAGGAAGGAUAUUAUCUCUGAAGAUAAUAACUUGAUUUUCUAAGGCUCAUGUUUGGCUGCAAAAUCUUGCUUUCUGAAUGUUUUUUCCGUCUUGAUCUUUGCAUUUUCAAUUCUCCUAUGACAAAUCUUAGUCUUUCCAAGCUAUAAGCUGGGAGCAGACUUGGGAAAAGAUCAUGUGCUCAAAAAGGCCAAAGGUAAAAAAGCACGUUAACAUUUCAGAGUGUGGUAGAAGAGGUAAAAAGUGACUCAAAACUGACCCAGGUUCUUUGAACCAGAUUUGGCAAACUCUUGUCCUGUAGGAUUAGUUAACAGCAUGCUUAAAGUGAUUACUUCCAGAAGGGAUGUAUGGACAAAAGGAUCUCUGCCUCUUAGGGAUUCACAACAAAUAUUAGCUCAUUAAAGGUUCUGAAAAGUCCUGC